GAGUUUGAUCCUGGCUCAGAUGAACGCUGGCGGCGUCUAAUACAUGCAAGUCGAGCGAACAGAUGAGAAGCUUGUUCUCUGAUGUUAGCGGCGGACGGGUGAGUAACACGUGGGUAACCUACCUAUAAGACUGGGAUAACUCCGGGAAACCGGCGCUAAUACCUGAUAAUAUUUUGAACCGCAUGGUUCAAUACGUGAAGGCGGAUUCCGCUGUCACUUAUAGAUGGACCCGCCUAUUAGCUAUGGUAAGGUAACGGUACCAAGGCGACAUACGUACCGACCUGAGGGUGAUCGCACACUGGAACUGAGACCGGCCAUACUCCUACGGAGGCACAUAGGGAAUCUUCCCAUGGGCGAAAGCCUGACGGAGCAACCCCGGAUGAUGAAUGUUUCGGAUCGUAAACUUGUUGUUAGGGAAGAACACAUUUGUUAGUAACUGAACAGUCUUGACGGUACCUACCAGAAAGCCAGGCUAUCUACGGCCACAGGGCGCGGUAAUAGUAUGUGGCAAGCGUAUACGGAAUUAUUGGGCGUAAGCUCGCGUAGCUGUUUCUUAAUCUGAUGUGAAAGCCCCGGCUCAACCCGUGGAGGGGUCAUUGGAAACUGGGGAUUUGAGUGCACAACAAGAGAGGGGAAUUCAUGGUAUCGUGGAAAUGCC
This 658-nucleotide ribosomal RNA is filed under the name uncultured Staphylococcus sp. Its description in RNAcentral is "bacterial SSU rRNA". It matches the Rfam family "Bacterial small subunit ribosomal RNA", at positions 9 to 690 of the family's 1533-position model. The record is from RNAcentral. Lineage: Bacteria; Bacillati; Bacillota; Bacilli; Caryophanales; Staphylococcaceae.